RNAcentral lists this ribosomal RNA (460 nucleotides) under uncultured bacterium. RNAcentral describes it as "partial 16S ribosomal RNA". It matches the Rfam family "Bacterial small subunit ribosomal RNA", at positions 338 to 795 of the family's 1533-position model. The record is from RNAcentral.
CCUACGGGAGGCAGCAGUGAGGAAUAUUGGUCAAUGGACGCAAGUCUGAACCAGCCAUGCCGCGUGCAGGAAGACGGCUCUAUGAGUUGUAAACUGCUUUUGUACGAGGGUAAACGCAGAUACGCGUAUCUGUCUGAAAGUAUCGUAAGAAUAAGGAUCGGCUAACUCCGUGCCCGCAGCCGCGGUAAUACGGAGGCUUCAAGCGUUAUCCGGAUUUAUUGGGUUUAAAGGGUGCGUAGGCGGUCGGAUAAGUUAGAGGUGAAAUCCCGAGGCUCAACUUCGGAAUUGCCUCUGAUACUGGUCGGCUAGAGAGUAGUUGCGGUAGGCAGAAUGUAUGGUGUAGCGGUGAAAUGCUUAGAGAUCAUACAGAACACCGAUUGCGAAGGCAGCUUACCAAGCUACUUCUGACGUUGAGGCACGAAAGCGUGGGGAGCAAACAGGAUUAGAUACCCGAGUAGUC